AGUACUUCCUUAAAUGAUCAAAAAGAUUUAAGCUUUUACAAGUUUAGACAAAGUCUUGAGAAAAAAUGAGAUAAAACUUAGCUUUUUAGAUCUAAAUCUAAUUAUAGGAAGGUGAAACUCGUGCUGGCUGAUCGAAUUAGACCAAGUCAAACCGGAUUAAACCGGAUUUAAAUGAUAUGUUAACCGCCGCGACCUCUGAACUCUGCAAACGAUCACCGCGAUAUUCCCUGGUCCCAAUUCUUAUCCUAUGUCGUGACCAAGCUUCUUCUGCGAAUAUGAGCUCGCGAUUGGCUCAAAACCACCGCGCCUCACUCCUCUGCGUCCGUCAACCGUGGGAUCUCCUGCUCAUUUGGUCGUCUUCCUCGUCACGACCUUGCUCAAGGCAUGAUUGCUAGCCGCGGUGCCUCCUUCUCCGAGAGUCCAUAUCUCCCUCGUGGCUGAACUCCUCCGUAAAGAAGUUCCACUGGUGUCGUCGGUUCGUCUCCUUCCUCGUGCUCUGGCUCGAGCUCGUCCUCCGUGGCCGACUUCAUCUCUGUCACUUUGCUCCGCCAAGGAUCCUCGAAUCAUUGCGCCUCCGUUGAACCACGACUCUUCUGUUGUCGUGCUCGACAACUCGAAUCUUCUCCGCCGUCGAGUGGAACCGGAGCCACCAUGAACUUCUCCUUCAAGCUCUAAACGGCGAGAAAGCUUCUUCUGUGGUGUCCGUUCCCAUCUCCAUCACAUUGCUACACCGCAAUUCCUCAGCCACGGCGAAGCUCUUCCAUCACGGCCUCCUCUGGUCUCAGCCCGUGGCCACCUUUUCCGUCUCACCGUCACAGGCUCGCCGUUCUCCGUGUUGAAGCCAAGAUCGAACAACUCCAAUGGCUGAUUUCCUCAUUUUUGCAAAACAGGUCCUCAAUUUCUUCGUGUUUACAAAACGGCCCAAAACUUCAUAAUUUGCAGAAACGCCCUCUCAAAUCAACUCUACACUUUCGAUUGUGCAAUUUAACCCAACCAAGAAUUCUGAAUUUAACCCAACCAGCUUUGAUCCCUGGGCUCUUGUUAACAUCACAUUGGGCCCAAGACUUCCAUAAUGUGCAAUUUAACCCAUGAUUUUCACCAUAAAAUUCCAAAUGUGCAUUCCAAACCCUAUCAAAUGCAAUUAUGUAUGAAAAUGCAAUAUAAAGACCUAAAUGCAACCUAAAAUGAUUAAAAUGAGAUAGAUUGAGAUGCUAAAAUUCACUUAAAACCCAAUAUAUCAGUUCUUAAGGGAAGGUACUUUAGACAUACGAACCCUCUAGAGAUUAGUAGCUCGAACUCUCCUUCGUAUGGAUGGAAAAGCAUGCUUGCGGCCAGGGAACUCUUAAAGAAGGGCUUAAGGCAUACGAUCGGAUCGGAUUUUAAUACUUGUGUGUGGUUUGAUCACUGGAUCCCAUCACAGACACCCAGGCUAGUUCAAGAUAAUGGUACGUGGAGGGACCCUAACAUGUACGUCAACCAUCUCAUAGAUCACAAUACGGGUGAAUGGAAGAUGGGUUUGAUUCGGAAUAUUUUCGAUCCCGUGGAUGUGAACCUAAUACAGAGCAUCAAAUCCAGUCACUGUAUCAAACCUGAUGGCUUCUGUAGGGUUCACACAAAGCCCGGGUUAUAUAUUGUUUGAUCCAUGAAGAGAGCAUCGAGAAACAGGUCCUAGAACCAAGUAUAAAUCCCUUGUUAACUAAGGUGUGGAGUUUGAAAGCACCCAGGAAGAUUAAACACUUCUUGUGGCAAUGUUUAACAGAAUGUGUUGCGGUUUGUAGUAGAUUAUCCGAUCGACAUUGCAGUAAUGACCGAUCGUGUCAUAGAUGUGGAGGGGAUGAUGAGUCCAUUAACCAUCUACUUUUUGAAUGUCCUCCUGCACUUUAGACGUGGGCUCUGUCGGACCUCCCAUCAGCUCCGGGACAGUUCCUAAGUUCAUCAAUCUAUGAAAACUUUGACUUUCUCCUGUUUCGAGCUCCGGCAAGGGGUGUCUCGAAGCAACGGCUAGUAAAAUUCCCUUGGAUUAUGUGGUAUGUAUGGAAAGAAAGGGACGAUAAAUGGUUCAAUGGUGUAGAUUUACCGCCCAUGGACUCCUUACAUAAGACGACUCAAGAAGGAGAGGAAUGGCUAGUAGCACAAGAAGUCCCAAAAGUUGCAAGGGAGAGGGAGCGACCACAGUCGAUAGAACAAGAGGAGAUGAAUAGGUUGCACAAACCGAGAUAUCAAGUGGAUGCAUCUUAGGCAACCAAUCAGUCUACUUUUGGUGGUGGUCUUAUCUUGGAGAUGGAAGAUGGGAGCAUGUUCUCGGGUUCCUUAGGGAGUAGGCAAGUCCCAUCCCCUCUUCAUGCAGAGUUCUGAACCUUGCUGUGGGCAAUUAAUUACGCGCUCCGUAUGAGUUACAACAAAAUUCAUUUCGAAUCAUACUGCCUGCAAAUGGUUACGCUAAUCGAAGAAGAAGAACUUUGGCCAUCUUUGGCUUCGGAAUGGAAUGAAUUCUCCCACCUCCGUUCUUUGUUUAUGUUCUUUUCACUUUCUUAUUCCUCGCGACUUAAAUUCUCUGGCUGACCUCCUUGCAAAAAGAGCUCGUAUGAAAGGUUCUGAGUUCUCCCAUGUAAACAUUUUGGUUCCACCGGGGUUAGCUCAAACUAACCUUUUCAAACCAGUCUAACGAAAUAUGGUGAUUAGCCGUAAAAAAAAAAGUAAUGUAUUUGAUCAUGGCCAGAAAUCAAUCAUCUCACUUUAUCAGUUCAGAUUUUUUACCUUCCCCAUCAACUGAAGCUAGGGUGAAAUCACAAAAUUAUUCGAAUCAUCCUCUCCCAAAAAAUCCUAGAACCAGAUCGUCCACUAAUAGCGACUACUCAACUGUAUUUUUUUCGAUUUUAAUGCUGGUUGUUGCCAGGAGACCGUUUUGGGGCGUCUUCUUUUUUUGUAGGCGAGGAAUGUGAAGAAAGCGGGAGAGCUUAUAGGUGUCGACAUGGUUUUCCUCGAUGAGAAGUCAGACUUUGGUCCACAGAUUUAUUGGGGCUGAGAGACUCAACUCUUUGAAGCACCUGCAGAAGUAAGGAACCAUCUACAAGCUAAGAAGAAGUAACUGUCAUGAUUCCGACUGGAAAAAACAGGUUUCGGAGAUAUGAACAGAUCAUGGCUCUAGCUAUUACUAUCAUAAUUUUGCCGGAUAGUUAUUUUUGUUUCAAAAGAAUUUAUUUAUUCGGUCAAUAAUGUUGCAUCUUUAUUCCACAUUUGUUACUAAUAUUUGGUACAAACAUUUUUGUUGAAGUGUGUGGCAUCAAGAAAACCUAUGACAAAGAAAAUCAGGCUAUGCAACGUGUUACGUUAACAAUCCGAGUAUACGGGGAGAUGGUCUGAGCUGCACUGUUCCUAUCUAUGAAGGUUAUGCCUUUCCACAUGCUAUCCUGUGUCUUGAUCUUGGGGGUCUUGACCUCACUAAUGCAUUGAUGAAGAUCCUAACUGAGUGUGGGCCACGACCACAUCAGAGCGUGAAAUUGUCUCAGACAUAUAAAAGAAGCUUUGCUACAUUGGUCUUGACGAAGGAUCUUGAGAAAGCCAAAACUAGCUCAGUUGUUGAGAAGAACUACGAGUUACCUGAUGGGAAAGUGAUCACCAUUGGUUCUGAGCGGUUCCGUUGUCCUGAGGACCGAGGUUCUUUAUCAGCCGCCUAUGAUUGUUAUGGAUGGAGAAUGCUAUACAUGAAACAAAUUAUAACUCCCUAAUGAAGUGUGAUGUAUACAUCAGAAGGACGUGUAUGGUAACACUGUGAUCAGUGGUGGGAAACACAUUUUCUCUGGGAUCGCUAACAAAAUGAGCUACGAUAUUACUGCUUGGGCUCCAAAGGAAGAGUACGACGAGUCAUGCCCAUCUGUUAUUCACAGGAAGUGCUUUUUAGCUCAAAGUUAUCAUUUUCAGAAAGAAGCGUUAAGCUGCUCUUUUAUUUUGUUUUUUGUACGUUGUAUUUUAAAAUUCUGGCCAAACACAUUUUGAAGGAUUUAUGUUCUUCUUAUUUAGUUCAGCUCCCUUUUGAGUAAAUAAUAGAACAUUUUUCUCUCUUA
Brassica napus (rape) is the source of this 4064-nucleotide long non-coding RNA. RefSeq lists it as uncharacterized. The transcript has 3 exons. The record is from RefSeq and is a predicted model, not a curated record. Lineage: Eukaryota; Viridiplantae; Streptophyta; Magnoliopsida; Brassicales; Brassicaceae.